Molecule: long non-coding RNA, 1487 nt
Filed under: Dromaius novaehollandiae (emu)
Lineage: Eukaryota; Metazoa; Chordata; Aves; Casuariiformes; Dromaiidae
Description: lncRNA (ENSDNVG00000004527.1)
Source: RNAcentral
GGGGGUAUAUAAAUCUGUGCUGAACGGUUGCAGUUGAAUGGCAGGAGCGCGAUGCUCGGCUCCGUCGGUGCCACGGGCACACGCACACCCGAGGGGUGGGGGGAAGGAGAAGAGGGAGGCACAGUCAUCUGACCCCCUUUCCUCCCCCCUUCCCCCCCCCCCAAAAAAAUCCCUUUUGAGCAUCUUGCCAUCAGGAGAGCUGUCACUCACUCGUCAAGGUUUCUGGCCAGCAGCACAGGCUCUCACAGCCCCCCGUUCACCGGGAGACAUCAUGCACAGAGGCUUUAACUGUGCAAGAGCUGUGCGUGCAGGCAGAAGAAAGACAUGCCCUACCACGCUGCAGGACUGAGCAGGACAGGCUGGAGACAGGACAACCCUCACUUCAUCAGUGAGUGCUUAGAAAGUGAACUUCAAAAGCAAACUUAGAAAUUCGGCUUAGAAACACAAAUUUUCACUUUGAGUGAGUGGCCAGGGCAGCCCUCCCUGGCCCCAGGUGACAGAGAUUGGCCAUAGUGCAAAUCAGCUGGCAUGCAGAAGGGGAAGGGAACCAGCCCACACCUCAUCUUUACUAAGGUUUUCCCCUGUUUUGUCUGUAGGGCAUGCUGAGGACUGGAGCACAAGCUCAGCUUGCUUUAGACAACACCCCAGUACAGCUGUACUGGAGGAACUGAAGGUUUCCCAGUUCUUCGGGCCCUGUAGCUCCCACCUGCCCRAGAUUUCCUCACCCCACUGAGCCCAGUGAGAAGCAGUAGGUCCUAGCAAGUUGCUUUAUGGUUCAGAUGUCAUGGACCAUCACGUGCAAGAUCAACCUGGCUAAAUUUUAGUAAGUCUAGUGCAUCUGCAAUGCCCCAGGGCACCCUGCCUGUGCACCUGUAUGGAMGUGCUCACCUCUCGUGCACCCUCCUACCUCGCAGGAUGGAGACCUGGCUGCCCACCUCCACCAUCAGCCUGUCCCCCCAUUGGUGUGGGGCUCUGCCCCCUAACCCCGCCCCUCAUGCACAGUGAUACAAGGAACCAGCAGCACCAAGGAUGGAUCUGCUCCUGGGACGAUGSCACCCAACCCCGCCGGCCUCUCUGGAGGAACGAGGAGACACUACCUGCCACCUCACCAACCUGCUCCGUCCCRGGAACGGUCGCAGAAUGUGUUUCCCACUGGGCUAAUUAUUGCUAAUUGUGCCACUUUGCUAUCUCGCCAGCCUCACCCUGCAUAGGGCUGAUAGGGAUAUCUGUGAGAUAAGGAGCAUGCAGAUAGCCCAGGUAACUGGUCAAUGCUGUCGAACUGGUGGGGUGAACUGCUCUCUGGAGGGGUUUUAUCUCUUGCCGCUGACUGUGAAGAGCUCCUGAGGCACCAACCUCCUAAGGACGAUACUGCUGUACCAAGGCUAGGCAGAGUGGAGCUGGGCAUGCUCCUUGGAGCCCUUUAGAAGACUAUAAGGGAUUCUGGUGACUUGGUAUUUGCAAGCAAUAAAGAAAUAYGCUGGCAUUCA